UUUGCUUAUUAUUUUUGUGUAUUAUUUCAAUUAUUAUUUUUGUGUUGUGUGUGUUAAUUUUUCAUAGGAUAGUUUAGGUAGCAGCUGGCCAGCCGAGCACCUACAAAAUUAUAACCAAUACGAAGAUAAUAUGAAGAAAGGAAGAAAAAAGCUAUGUUUCGGAACUCUAUAAUCAAUGCGUUGUAGAAGAGAGAAGAAUCAGUUAUACCAUGGUAAAACUUCUGUGCGCAGAAAAGAUUAUUUAUGAGUAAUACUUAACAAGUCGAUGAUCGACAAAAAAUUUAAGCACAUGAAGCACCAUAAUUAUUAGAUGACACGAUGCUAAAAUAAACGAGUGGCCCACCCUACUAGAUACUGCAUUUAUUUGAG
Long non-coding RNA from Aphis gossypii (cotton aphid), 369 nucleotides. RefSeq lists it as uncharacterized. The record is from RefSeq and is a predicted model, not a curated record. NCBI's taxonomy places the organism in Eukaryota, Metazoa, Arthropoda, Insecta, Hemiptera, Aphididae. The transcript is spliced from 3 exons.